Molecule: ribosomal RNA, 604 nt
Filed under: Labeo rohita (rohu)
Lineage: Eukaryota; Metazoa; Chordata; Actinopteri; Cypriniformes; Cyprinidae
Description: partial large subunit ribosomal RNA
Rfam family: Bacterial large subunit ribosomal RNA
Source: RNAcentral
CCUGGUUUUAUCAAAAACAUCGCCUCCUGCAACACAACUAUGUAUAGGAGGUCCAGCCUGCCCAGUGACUACAAGUUCAACGGCCGCGGUAUUUUGACCGUGCAAAGGUAGCGCAAUCACUUGUCUUUUAAAUAGAGACCUGUAUGAAUGGCUAAACGAGGGCUUAACUGUCUCCCCUUUCCAGUCAGUGAAAUUGAUCUGCCCGUGCAGAAGCGGACAUAAAAAUACAAGACGAGAAGACCCUUUGGAGCUUAAGGUACAAAACUCAACCACGUCGAGCGACUCAAUAAAAAGCAAAAACUUUGUGGAAUAUGAGAUUUUACCUUCGGUUGGGGCGACCACGGAGGAAAACAAAGCCUCCAAGUGGAUUGGGACAAACCUCCUAAAACCAAGAGAGACAUCUCUAAGCCACAGAACAUCUGACCAAACAUGAUCCGGCUGCCCGAAGCCGAUCAACGAACCAAGUUACCCUAGGGAUAACAGCGCAAUCCUCUCCCAGAGUCCAUAUCGACGAGAGGGUUUACGACCUCGAUGUUGGAUCAGGACAUCCUAAUGGUGCAGCCGCUAUUAAGGGUUCGUUUGUUCAACGAGAAAGUCCUACGUG